AUGUUACUGAAAGUUAGUUUUCAGAUAUGUCUCUAUGUUCUCAAGUUCGUUCAUAAUUUGCUUUUACCAAGAGAUUUUACUACACCUUAUAGUUGCAAAAAGAAUCUUAGUUUGUAACAGGUUGCCAAUUCUCCAGUGAUUUUCUAUUAGCUCGAAUCCCUUGUGGUGAAAAUAUUUCACAGCAUGAAUAAAUUAACAACAACAACAAAAUGAUUUUGUUAUGUUUUUUACUGUGUUGUGUUAAAUACUAAUUGACUGAUCAUAACAAUCUGAUAUUGUGACAUUUUAUUUCAUAUGGAUUUCCUCUGCUUGCAUCUAGCAUUACUUUUUUCAUGAAACUGAUUAGAGUAAUGUUAGAAUUCAGAUUCAAAUACAGUCUCCAUUAGACCUCAUAUAUCUCAAGUUGGAAUUGAUCAAGCACUGAAUUAGCAAUCAUAUACUUGAAAUAACCAAACAAGCAUUGCACAACAUAAAAACAUAAUACUAUAGCACAAACUGUUUAUAUAUGGAGUACAAUGCUGCAAAGCAUAACAUCACACAGAAAAGACAUCCAAAGCUUUAGAAAAAAAAUACAAGUGAUGACUCUUCUCUAACAUGUUAAGAAGUUCAUUUAAAUUCUGAACUUCUCAACUAUCACUGUCUCGCUGUUGUCUGUCUGUCUUGUAUUACUCACUGUAUAUAAGUUGUAAAGCGGAUAAGAAAGAGGAUGAGCACUCUUUUCUUGUCUCUUCACUCCUUUCUGCACCGCUCCUUCCAUCUUAUAUAAUCUAUCUAUUUUUUUUUAUCUAUUCUAAUGAAACAAAAUAAACAAGAGAAGAAAAGGAUUUGACACCAAGAGAAGAUUUGCACAUUUCGUUUUACACAAGAAAGCAAUAAACCACUCGCAUCCGACUUUUUAAACCAAAUUGAUCAUUCUCAGGCCAAUGAGUAGUUCGCAACUGAGACAUCUGCUGGAGUGGUAGAAUGGAUGUAGACAAACUCAAGGCUUUUACCAGCUGACAAUGAGUUGAUCCAUGCUGGGAAUGUAUAUGAAUCACCAAACUUUGUGAGUCCCCAGAUUGGACCAUAAAGCUUGGAUAUUGAAAGAUUGAGAGACUUGAGAUUCUUGGUUGAUUUGUUAGUCACGAUUGUUGAGUAUCUAUAAUAAGUUCUUCCAUUCGCAACCCAAGAGCUGAAUGUAGUCCACCUGAAGAUUAAUUUUAAACACAAAAAUUGAUGAGCUCCCUUGAAAUAUGUAGCACCAACACUUCGUAUUAAAUGUGAGCCUGGUGUCAAUGUU
RNAcentral lists this long non-coding RNA (1279 nucleotides) under Medicago truncatula (barrel medic). RNAcentral's name for it is "lncRNA gene50038". Lineage: Eukaryota; Viridiplantae; Streptophyta; Magnoliopsida; Fabales; Fabaceae. The record is from RNAcentral.